This 290-nucleotide ribosomal RNA is filed under the name uncultured Pseudomonas sp. RNAcentral describes it as "partial 16S ribosomal RNA". It matches the Rfam family "Bacterial small subunit ribosomal RNA", at positions 1094 to 1382 of the family's 1533-position model. Lineage: Bacteria; Pseudomonadati; Pseudomonadota; Gammaproteobacteria; Pseudomonadales; Pseudomonadaceae. The record is from RNAcentral.
GAGCGCAACCCUUGUCCUUAGUUACCAGCACGUUAUGGUGGGCACUCUAAGGAGACUGCCGGUGACAAACCCGGAGGAAGGUGGGGAUGACGUCAAGUCAUCAUGGCCCUUACGGCCUGGGCUACACACGUGCUACAAUGGUCGGUACAAAGGGUUGCCAAGCCGCGAGGUGGAGCUAAUCCCAUAAAACCGAUCGUAGUCCGGAUCGCAGUCUGCAACUCGACUGCGUGAAGUCGGAAUCGCUAGUAAUCGUGAAUCAGAAUGUCACGGUGAAUACGUUCCCGGGCCUU